RNAcentral lists this ribosomal RNA (404 nucleotides) under uncultured bacterium. RNAcentral's name for it is "bacterial SSU rRNA". It matches the Rfam family "Bacterial small subunit ribosomal RNA", at positions 355 to 776 of the family's 1533-position model. The record is from RNAcentral. RNAcentral also lists the same sequence under 2 other names.
UGGGGGAUAUUGCACAAUGGGGGAAACCCUGAUGCAGCGACGCCGCGUGAAGGAAGACGUACUUCGGUAUGUAAACUUCUAUCAGCAGGGAAGAAGAUGACGGUACCUGACUAAGAAGCCCCGGCUAACUACGUGCCAGCAGCCGCGGUAAUACGUAGGGGGCAAGCGUUAUCCGGAUUUACUGGGUGUAAAGGGAGCGUAGACGGUGAAGCAAGUCUGAUGUGAAAACCCGGGGCUCAACUCCGGGAUUGCAUUGGAAACUGUUUUACUUGAGUGCUGGAGGGGCAAGCGGAAUUCCUGGUGUAGCGGUGAAAUGCGUAGAUAUCAGGAAGAACACCGGUGGCGAAGGCGGCUUGCUGGACAGUAACUGACGUUGAGGCUCGAAAGCGUGGGGAGCAAACAGG